This is a non-coding RNA of Phasianus colchicus (ring-necked pheasant), 603 nucleotides long. NCBI's taxonomy places the organism in Eukaryota, Metazoa, Chordata, Aves, Galliformes, Phasianidae. The record is from RefSeq and is a predicted model, not a curated record.
UCCCGGUUGCUCUGACACAAAAGCAACAAGACACCGAGGGCUGCUUUGAGAAAAAGAAGCUGAAAUCCUACAGGAGAGCAAAUAGCGCAAAAGCUCUCCAAGAAAGUAAUGAACAUUAACAAUGGAAGUGGAAUCAGAAUCCUAUAAUGCAAGAAAUACUGCUGGGUCAGCUGGACACAGAAGGUGCAUCAGUGAUUUCACGAGAAGAGCACCAGAUGCAUGCAACUAAUAAAGCAAACAAGUAAGCAAGAAUACAGCUUACACUACUGCUUUCUCCAGCAAAGUUCUCUGUUUCAGAUGUACAGACCGUGACUUGAGACAAUGCAUUGCCUUGGUGGUUUGAUUUCCCAGAUUCAAAAGGCAGUAUUUCCUGAACAAAGAGCAGCUGAGUGACAUCCCAGGAGAAAGUGCAGUGGUAGGAAGAAUCUUGCACGCAUACACAAAGCAAAUCCAUGUUUUGCAUCAAGGGAAUAAUUGUCAGCCAAGACCCUAGAGAUGGUAAAUUGUCUGUUUCACAUAUACUAAUGGGAACUCAAACAUUAAGUCAAAUAACCCCCCGAGAUGAUGCAAUGUUGAAAAGCAAGUUGUUAACAAAGAGAGGGG